GACGAACGCUGGCGGCGUGCUUAACACAUGCAAGUCGAACGGAAAGGCCUGCUUUCCCUUGUGGAUUGCGGGUACUCGAGUGGCGAACGGGUGAGUAACACGUGAGUGAUCUGCCCCCAACUUGGGUAUAAGCCUGGGAAACUGGGUCUAAUUCCCGAUAGGACUGCAGGGUGGUGCCUGUGGUGGAAAACGAUUUUCUAGUGGUUGGGGAUGAGCUCGCGGCCUAUCAGCUUGUUGGUGGGGUAAUGGCCUACCAAGGCGGCGACGGGUAGCCGGCCUGAGAGGGUGGACGGCAACAUUGGGACUGAGAUACGGCCCAGACUCCUACGGGAGGCAGCAGUGGGGAAUAUUGCACAAUGGGCGGAAGCCUGAUGCAGCGACGCCGCGUGGGGGAUGACGGCCUUCGGGUUGUAAACUCCUUUCGACCGCGAGGAAGCCACCUGGUUGGAAGGGUGGUGACGGUAGUGGGAGAAGAAGCACCGGCUAACUACGUG
RNAcentral lists this ribosomal RNA (494 nucleotides) under uncultured bacterium. RNAcentral's name for it is "partial 16S ribosomal RNA". It matches the Rfam family "Bacterial small subunit ribosomal RNA", at positions 28 to 507 of the family's 1533-position model. The record is from RNAcentral.